GUUUGCAACAUUCUAAUUACUAGCAGUUUGUGGGAAAUUCCUGUAUUAGUUUCAGCAUUGCUCAUUUCUGACGUAUACCUCUCUGCUAACAGCUUGCUUUCCAGCACUCACACAGCUAAUUGCUGCAACAAUCAGCUGUGCUGUCUCACAGCUUUCAGUCUGUGUCUUACCUCCUGGAUCCGGACAAGUUUCUUUGCUAAAUAAAUCUUAAUCAAAACACCCAUCAGAAUUAACUAUCAUUACAGCUAUACACAAGCAUGCAGCAUAAAGCUGUGCCGAUGGACACAUUGGAACCAUUUUUCACAAAACAACAUUUUUUUCUUUGGUGAAUUAAUGGCUGUUAAAACCUCCUUAGUAAUACUGGAGUCCAUAUGUGCACUGUAGGAAUGCAUGAGCUUUAUUUAGUGCUUAAUAUCCCUUUAAUUUUGGAAACAUUCCGACAAUAUCUCCACCUGAUGAAAUAUAGAUUGAUCCAGGGGUAUAAAGAGGGAGUCACCAUUUACAUGCACAUGCUCCUGAAGAAGAAGAGAAAAAAAUACUGCAACAAACUGAGGCUAAUCUCUCUACUGUCCCUUUAAACUAUUAACUCCUAAACUACAAAAGAAAAACAGAUGCAUUUUAUCUUGAACUGAAGCUUACUGAAAGAUAUUUGUUCAUGCAAAGGUCUGAAUAUUUCAUUAUAAUUGUUGUCAAAACUGAGGCUCCUUUGGAAAACAGUGUUGCCAGGUCUGAACCCUGUUACACUUCACAGUAAAAGAGAAGGGUUGUGACACUGUACGUUAUAUAAAUUGUAUAACAACUAAUAGACAAUAAAUAGUCAAACUUU
Long non-coding RNA from Bombina bombina (fire-bellied toad), 826 nucleotides. RefSeq lists it as uncharacterized. Lineage: Eukaryota; Metazoa; Chordata; Amphibia; Anura; Bombinatoridae. The transcript is spliced from 2 exons. The record is from RefSeq and is a predicted model, not a curated record.